Long non-coding RNA from Passer montanus (Eurasian tree sparrow), 704 nucleotides. RefSeq lists it as uncharacterized. Lineage: Eukaryota; Metazoa; Chordata; Aves; Passeriformes; Passeridae. The record is from RefSeq and is a predicted model, not a curated record. The transcript has 3 exons.
AUGACCUUGCAGGGACAGCAGCCCUGGGCCUCCCCACAGACAUUAGCUGAUAUAAUGGGCUAGACUGGACAUGCCAUCCUGGGAACGUAGGAGUUUUGCUGCGCUUGGGUUUGCUGUUUGAACGUUCUCGGCAGGGACUCUGUCUAUGGAGCUUCUUCCCCGAGGAUGUCCACUGGGGUCUCUCGGUGGCUGGCAUCCCCAGCUGGGUACAUCAGGCCUUUCUCUUCAGGUCACUUUGUCACUGAGCACGGCAGCCUUCCUUCAACUUGUUUUUUUUCCUUGCCUGGUAGUGUCCGCUUUGAUGGCAGGAGCGAACCCCAGCUCUGCAGCCCAGGUGGGCUGAGUGCUCCUGUGUUACACACCACCCAGAGAUGCUGCCAAGAGAUGGGGAAAGAUUACCAGGGAUCACAGAGGAAGCAAGAGCCUUUCAUGGGAGAUUUCCCCACUGAAAGCUUUGAACCUGGUUCACAGAAUAGCCUUGUGAAGGAACACUUGGAACCAAGGAUCUAGAAGCAUGCAAGUGCCCAAUACCCAUAGGUAUCAUCUUAAAAUUGCUAAGAAGCAGCUCUGAACAUUCAAGCCAUGCACUGUGAUAUGUUGAAUGAUAAACCUUCUGUUUUCAUAUACUAUUAUCAGCUAUUAUCAGCUAGCUAUUAUCACUAGCUGUUGUUCUUCAUUACAUUUCACUAAAAAUAAAAAUUAGA